GGUUAAGCGACCAAGCGUACACGGUGGAUGCCCUGGCAGUCAGAGGCGAUGAAGGACGUGCUAAUCUGCGAAAAGCGCCGGCGAGGUGAUAUGAACCCUUGACCCGGCGAUGUCCGAAUGGGGAAACCCGGUGCACUACGGUGCAUCAUCGUUAGCUGAAUACAUAGGCUAACGAGGCGAACCGGGGGAACUGAAACAUCUAAGUACCCCGAGGAAAAGAAAUCAACCGAGAUUCCCCCAGUAGCGGCGAGCGAACGGGGAGGAGCCCAGAGCCUGAAUCAGCUUGUGUGUUAGUGGAAGCGUCUGGAAAGUCGCACGGUACAGGGUGAAAGUCCCGUACACGAAAACGCACAGGCUGUGAGCUCGAUGAGUAGGGCGGGACACGUGGUAUCCUGUCUGAAUAUGGGGGGACCAUCCUCCAAGGCUAAAUACUCCUGACUGACCGAUAGUGAACCAGUACCGUGAGGGAAAGGCGAAAAGAACCCCGGCGAGGGGAGUGAAAAAGAACCUGAAACCGUGUACGUACAAGCAGUGGGAGCCUCUUUUAUGGGGUGACUGCGUACCUUUUGUAUAAUGGGUCAGCGACUUAUAUUCUGUAGCAAGGUUAACCGUAUAGGGGAGCCGAAGGGAAACCGAGUCUUAACUGGGCGUUAAGUUGCAGGGUAUAGACCCGAAACCCGGUGAUCUAGCCAUGGGCAGGUUGAAGGUUGGGUAACACUAACUGGAGGACCGAACCGACUAAUGUUGAAAAAUUAGCGGAUGACCUGUGGCUGGGGGUGAAAGGCCAAUCAAACCGGGAGAUAGCUGGUUCUCCCCGAAAG
This 821-nucleotide ribosomal RNA is filed under the name Citrobacter koseri. RNAcentral describes it as "partial 23S ribosomal RNA". It matches the Rfam family "Bacterial large subunit ribosomal RNA", at positions 1 to 865 of the family's 2925-position model. The record is from RNAcentral. Lineage: Bacteria; Pseudomonadati; Pseudomonadota; Gammaproteobacteria; Enterobacterales; Enterobacteriaceae.